This 74-nucleotide transfer RNA is filed under the name Bacteroidetes bacterium RBG_13_43_22. RNAcentral describes it as "tRNA-Ile". It matches the Rfam family "tRNA". Rfam says of the family: Transfer RNA (tRNA) molecules are approximately 80 nucleotides in length. Their secondary structure includes four short double-helical elements and three loops (D, anti-codon, and T loops). The record is from RNAcentral. Lineage: Bacteria; Pseudomonadati; Bacteroidota. RNAcentral also lists the same sequence under 6 other names.
AGUCCCGUAGCUCAGUUGGUUAGAGCGCUACACUGAUAAUGUAGAGGUCCCCGGUUCAACUCCGGGCGGGACUA